Molecule: transfer RNA, 71 nt
Filed under: Onychostoma sp. n. FH-2018
Lineage: Eukaryota; Metazoa; Chordata; Actinopteri; Cypriniformes; Cyprinidae
Description: tRNA-Tyr
Rfam family: tRNA
About the family: Transfer RNA (tRNA) molecules are approximately 80 nucleotides in length. Their secondary structure includes four short double-helical elements and three loops (D, anti-codon, and T loops).
Source: RNAcentral
GGUAGGGUGGCCGAGUGCUCAGGCGGUGGGUUGUAGCCCCGAAGACAGAGGUUUAAACCCUCUUCCUAUCA